Molecule: non-coding RNA, 74 nt
Organism: Myotis brandtii (Brandt's bat)
Lineage: Eukaryota; Metazoa; Chordata; Mammalia; Chiroptera; Vespertilionidae
Source: Rfam
GGUGGGGGGAAGAGGUCCCUCAGCCCAGAUUGCAAGAGGGUGCAGGCCAGGCUGAGGGACCCCAGCGGUGCACA